GUACCGUCAUUAUCUUCCCUAGCGAAAGAGUUUUACAACCCUAAGGCCUUCUUCACUCACGCGGCAUUGCUGUAUCAGACUUGCGUCCAUUGUACAAUAUUCCCCA
This 106-nucleotide ribosomal RNA is filed under the name uncultured bacterium. RNAcentral describes it as "partial 16S ribosomal RNA". The record is from RNAcentral.